Molecule: ribosomal RNA, 465 nt
Filed under: uncultured bacterium
Lineage: Bacteria
Description: partial 16S ribosomal RNA
Rfam family: Bacterial small subunit ribosomal RNA
Source: RNAcentral
GACGAACGCUGGCGGCGUGCUUAACACAUGCAAGUCGAACGGAAAGGCCCCGUUGGGGGUACUCGAGUGGCGAACGGGGGGGUAACACGGGAGUAAACUGCCCGUGACUGCGGGAUAACUACAGGAAAGUGGGGCGAAUACCGGAAAGGAAUCCUUGCUGCAUGGGGGGGGGUGGAAAGAUUCGGCGGGUUUGGGUGGAUGGGCGGCCUAUCCGCUUGUUGGUGGGGUAGUGGCUUACCCAUGCGUUGGCGGGUAGCCGGCCUGAGGGGGCGACCGGCCACCUUGGCACUGAGGGUCGGCCCCGGCUCCUACUGGCGGCCGUCGUGGGGAAUCUUGCCCCAUGGGCGGCAGCCUGAUGCGGCAACGCCGCGUGCGGGAUGGCGGCCUUCGGGUUGUAAACCGCUUUCAGCAGGGGCGAAGCUUGUGGUGACGGUACCUGCAGAAGAAGCACCGGCUAACUACGUG